UUUGUAAAUGGCCGCAGUAUUCUGACUGUGCUAAGGUAGCAUAAUCAUUAGUCUUUUAAUUGAAGGCUGGUAUGAAUGACGAGACGAGAAAAUAGCUGUCUCUAAAAUAAAUCUUGAAUUUUAUUUCUAAGUGAAAAAGCUUAGAUAAUUUUAAAGGACGAUCAGACCCUUUGGAGCUUUAUUUAUUUUAAAUUUUAAUUUAUUUUAGAUUAUUGAAUGAAUAAUAAAUUUUGUUGGGGCGACAGAGAGUAAUAAAUACCACUCUUUUUUUUAAACAAUUAUAAUUGAAAAAUUGAUCCUUAAAGUAAGAUUAAAAGACUAAGUUACCCUAGGGAUAACAGCGUAAUCUUCUUGGAGAGUUCAAAUCGAUAAGAAGGUUUGCGACCUCGAUGUUGGAUUAAGAAGAUUGACAAGGUGCAGAACUUUUGCUGGAGAGUCUGUUCGACUUU
Molecule: ribosomal RNA, 449 nt
Filed under: Daphnia similis
Lineage: Eukaryota; Metazoa; Arthropoda; Branchiopoda; Diplostraca; Daphniidae
Description: partial 16S ribosomal RNA
Rfam family: Bacterial large subunit ribosomal RNA
Source: RNAcentral